GCGCGGUUGGCGGAGUGGUCUAACGCAUCACUCGAUUUGUGGGUUGAAAUUCCCGGAGAGCCUCUUUCCAAAGACCGACUCUGGGGGCAAACAAUUUCAGUAGAACAAAUGCUGAGUGAAGACCCGGGUUCCAGUCCCGGACCGCGCA
Molecule: transfer RNA, 148 nt
Filed under: Neurospora tetrasperma FGSC 2508
Lineage: Eukaryota; Fungi; Ascomycota; Sordariomycetes; Sordariales; Sordariaceae
Also listed under: 1 other name
Description: tRNA-Und (NNN) (tRNA-Und-NNN-2-1)
Source: RNAcentral